This 274-nucleotide ribosomal RNA is filed under the name uncultured bacterium. RNAcentral's name for it is "partial 16S ribosomal RNA". It matches the Rfam family "Bacterial small subunit ribosomal RNA", at positions 523 to 796 of the family's 1533-position model. The record is from RNAcentral.
AUACGGAGGGUGCAAGCGUUGUCCGGAUUUAUUGGGUUUAAAGGGUGCGUAGGUGGUUUUUUAAGUCAGUGGUGAAAGCCUACAGCUUAACUGUAGAGGUGCCAUUGAUACUGGGGUACUUGAGUAUGAACGAGGUAGGCGGAAUUUGUGGUGUAGCGGUGAAAUGCAUAGAUACCACAAGGAACACCGAUAGCGAAGGCAGCUUACUGGGCCAUAACUGACACUGAGGCACGAAAGCGUGGGGAGCAAACAGAAUUAGAAACCCCAGUAGUCC